This 253-nucleotide ribosomal RNA is filed under the name uncultured bacterium. RNAcentral describes it as "partial 16S ribosomal RNA". It matches the Rfam family "Bacterial small subunit ribosomal RNA", at positions 524 to 776 of the family's 1533-position model. The record is from RNAcentral.
GACAGAGGGUGCAAACGUUGUUCGGAAUUACUGGGCGUAAAGCGCGUGUAGGCUGCUUAGCAAGUCGGAUGUGAAAGCCCUGGGCUCAACCCAGGAAGUGCAUUCGAAACUGCAGAGCUGGAGUCCUGGAGAGGAAGGCGGAAUUCUCGGUGUAGAGGUGAAAUUCGUAGAUAUCGAGAGGAACACCGGUGGCGAAGGCGGCCUUCUGGACAGUGACUGACGCUGAGACGCGAAAGCGUGGGGAGCAAACGGG